GACGAACGCUGGCGGCGUGCUUAACACAUGCAAGUCGAGCGAAGCAAUCUAAGUGAAGUUUUCGGAUGGAUCUUGGAUUGACUGAGCGGGCGACGGGUGAGUACGCGUGGAUAACCUGCCUCACACAGGGGGAUAACAGUUAGAAAUGACUGCUAAUACCGCAUAAGCGCACAGGACCGCAUGGUCUGGUGUGAAAAACUCCGGUGGUAUAAGAUGGACCCGCGUCUGAUUAGCUAGUUGGUGGGGUAACGGCCCACAAAGGCGACGAUCAGUAGCCGGCCUGAGAGGGUGAACGGCCACAUUGGGACUGAGACACGGCCCAG
RNAcentral lists this ribosomal RNA (323 nucleotides) under uncultured bacterium. RNAcentral describes it as "bacterial SSU rRNA". It matches the Rfam family "Bacterial small subunit ribosomal RNA", at positions 28 to 334 of the family's 1533-position model. The record is from RNAcentral.